AAGUUUACGUGGAAAAACAUGGCGGCUGCAGUGGCUGCACUAGUUGGCAGUUGUCAACGUACAGCCUGACGAUCCCACAUGGUUUUAGGGCGUUUUUACCGGAAUUGUUUAAUGUCACCUGGCCAGAUUUAAUCGUAGACGUCGGUGCUAUUAAUCGACGCUUCGCAUGAAGUCAUUUUAUCCCGUGUUUAGGUUCAGAAAGCGCAGAUAUGGAGGAUGAGGAGCGGCGGAGAAAGCUGGAGGCCGGUAAAGCGAAGCUGGCAGAGUACAGACAGAGGAGGUCUCAGAGUGAUGGACAGAAGAAGAAGAAGAAGAAAACGAAUAAAGGAUCAGAACAGCAAGAAGGAGAACAAGAAGUCAGUGGAGAGAGAAAGGAAUUACCAGCUACAGAGCUUUCGUUUUCCAGAACUCUCCGGAGUGGAGAAACUGUUAAACAUGACCAAACAUACUCAAUAGAGCCUGAGAGUGAAAUCUCCACCACGGCAGAAGAUUAUUCCUCUGAGGUGAAUGGUCAUGAGAUGGGCGAGAAAUCGCUGGACGUUGGGGAGGAGGAGCUCUAUGCUCCUAGCAGACUGCAGGAGAUGGAGGACGAACUCGCCGCCAAAAACAUGGCGGUGGAGGAACUGAGCCGAGAGCUAGAAGAAAUCAGAGCUACGUUUGGAGCUGAAGGAGUACAACAGCUCCAGGACUUUGAGGCAGCACUGAAACAGAGAGACGGCAUCAUCACACAACUAACGGCGAACCUGCAGCAGGCUCGGGCUGAGAAGGACGAGGUGAUGCGCGAGUUCCUUGACCUUACUGAAAAAAGCCAGAAACUACAGAUCCAAUUUCAACAGUUGCAGGCAGGUGAGUCAUUAAGGAGCUCCAGUAUCAGCAGUGCUGCUGCAGAUCUCCUGCAAGCCCGACAACAAGUCCUGCUUUAUCAGCAACAGCUGGAUGAGAGAGACACAAUGGUCAAAAGUCUCCAGAUGCAGCUGGAGAAGAGGGAUGGAAAGCUCAGAGGUCUCCAGGAGCAGUUAGAGGACAGAGAUGGAAAUGUCAGUAGUCUCCAGAUGCAGUUAGUGGAUAGGGAUGGAGAGAUCAAAGGUCUCUGGCAGCAGACAGAGGAGAUGGAUGGAAAGGUCAAAUGUCUUCAUGAGCAGCUACAGGAGAGUGAGGCUAAGGUCAGCAGCCUACAGGAGCGGAUGUUGCAGAUGACACAGAUCCAGCAGAGGAUGUCCGAACUUGAGACGGUCUCAAGGAAUACAGAAGAAUCUUUUACCCAGAGAUUUCAAGAGAAGGACUUGCGGAUUGAAGAACAGGAAAGGCUAAUACUAGAGCAUCAACGAUCAUUAUCCCAACUCCGAGACAAUCUCCAAGAAUCCGAGAAGCGUUUCAUUAACAUUAGCGAACAGCUGGAGGCAAAGGUCUGUGACCUACAGGGUUGUGAAGCAGAGCUUCAGGCUUCCAAGGAGAAGGAGCGACUUUCAUCAGGUGAAAUCUUGCAGCUGAUGGGCACUGUGGAGGCCCUUCAAAAACGCUACCAUCAGGGCAGCCAGUCAGAAUGUGAGGUUCUCCAGAGGGCAGAACAAGAUGCUACACGAAGGCUGGACCACUUGAGGGCAGAACUGGACGAGAUGUAUGGGCAACAGAUUGUUCAGAUGAAACAAGAGCUCCUUUCUCGGCACACGGAAGAGAUGGCAAAUACCCUCAAUCAGCAUUCCACAGAACUGAAAAUGGUCUUGGACCAGCAUCGCAAUGACAUUGAGAGAUUAACAUCUCAGUUGACUCAAAGCACAGGAGAAGUCAAUGUCCUGAAUGUCAGGGUGAUUGAGCUCCAGCAACGGCUACAGGAGAUGCAGGUCCUGCGAGAAAAAGCUGAACAUGAUCUCACACAAACAUCUCAGGAAAAUAUAUUACUGCAAAAACAGGUGCAGCAGCUCAUGGAGAACCUGCGCUUAAAGGAUCAGGAGAAGAGCCAAUCAGAGGUGCAUCUCCAACUUCAUUCUACGAUAACUGACCUUCAGGCUCAACUAGCAUCUGUUCAGGAAACCUCAAGUGAGCUGGAGGCCAAGCAUGAAUCUGAGAUUACUAACUACCGGAUCAAGCUAGAGAUGCUGGAAAGGGAGAAGGAUGCAGUACUUGAUCGUAUGGCUGAGUCACAGGAAGCUGAGCUCGAGCGUCUCCGCACGCAGCUGCUAUUCAGCCAUGAGGAAGAACUUUCUAGGCUUCGUGAGGACCUUCAGCAUGAGAGCCAGAUGAAUGUGGAGAACCUGCGGGAUGAGUUCAACCAGCGACAUGAGGAGACUGUCCAACAACUCCGCAAUGGGUAUGAGGAAAGGAUGAGGGUGGCUGAGGAUGAGAGGUCAGUUUUGGCAGCAGAAAGGACCUCACUAUUGCAGGAGAUUGCCACACUGAAAAAUGACCUGAGCCAAGCACUGGAGAAAUCUCGGGUGGAGGAGCUGGUCUCACAACUGAAGGAGCUGCAGGCAGAAAUUCAGGAGCUCAGACAGAGACAAAGUGAAAAGGUUGAAACUGAUGGAGUACUGUGCAAAAAUGAACUGACAAGGGAGUGUGAGCAGAGUUGGGAGGAAAUUAACACUGAAAAUAAACAUCUUAAAGAAAGAAAUGUCUCCCUGACAGAAGAACUGAAGUCUCUUGAGGAGGAUCACAAGAUGCUGGUGAAGAAAAUGGACACUCUGAUUUCAGAGAACAGGCAAGUGAACGAGAUGGCCGAAGAACUAAAAGCUGAAAUUGAGAGGCAAAAAAGCACAUUCUCAUUUGCAGAAAAGAACUUUGAGGUGAACUACCAGGAGCUGAGAGCAGAGCUGGAAGAAAGACUCCGGGAACAGACGCUGCAGUAUGAGACGAAUCUCCAGGGCCUUGAAAUGCAGCUUCAAAAUCUAAAGUCUGAAACGGAGCAUGGAUCCAUCCAGAGUUUGAAGGAGGAAGAUGAAGAACCAGAUGGAGGGGCAUUAGUGGAAAAACACACAACAGAGCUGAUGGAGAAGCUCCAAAGGGUAGAGCUGGAGAAGGCGGGGCUAGUGAAACAGGUGGAACAGAAGGAGACCGAGAUAAAGAAUAUGAAACUGGAGAGUGCAAAGCUGGUGGACCAGAUUAAAAGCAGGGAAGUGGAGCUUAGGCAAGUAGAGCAGGAGAAGACAGGGUUAUUUGAACAGGUGGAAAAAAAGGAGGAAAAGGUCAAGAUGGUGGAGCAAGAGAAGGCAGGGCUUGUUGAACAGUUGGAGCAGAAGGAGGUGGAGCUAAAGAGGUUGGAACUAGAGAGAGCAGGGUUGGAAGAACAGACUGAAUUGAAAGAUCUGGCGUUAAAGAGAGUGGAGCUUGAGAAAGUAGGGCUGGUGCAGCAAGUUGACCUGAAAGAGGCGGAGCUACAGCAGAAGGAGGCAGAGCUUGAAAGGAUGAAGCUGGAGAAUGCAGAACUGGUGCAGCAGGUGGACCAGAACGAGGUAGUACUGCAGCAAAAGGAGGCACAGCUCCAGGAGAUCAUGUUGGAGAAGGCAGAGCUGGUGCAACAGGUGAACCAGAAAGCAGUAGAGCUACAGCAAAUGGAGGCGGAGCUUGAAAGGAUGAAGAUAGAGAAGGCAGAGCCGGUGGAGCUACAGCAAAAAGAGGUGCCGCUGCAGAGGAUGAAGCUCGGGAAGGUGGAGCUCACAGACCAGGUUCAAGUAAAGAAGGCGGGUCUUAAGGUAGCCAGGAAGGCUAGACAAAAGGCCAGCAGGGUCAAAAGUUUAGAGGCAAAGCCUGACACUAAGAAACAGAGUCAGCUCAAGAUUCAGUUAUCUGAGGUGGAGCUUCAGGAAGAGGAGGCGUGUAAGACUGAGCAGCUUUUGGCUCCGCCCCUUUCCCAAGCUGCUGCGGAGGAGGAGAGCGUGAGAGAGACGGAUGUCAGUGUUGUGCUUCGCAGUGAUGGCGUGAAGCAGAAAACACACGGUCGUACCAAGAUCGUCGCUGCUGCAGCGGCGCACUCUCACACACACACUCACACACACACACACACAUACACACUCACACGCACUCAGCCUGCUACUGCUGCAGCGACGCACACAGACAGAGAGAACAAGCCGGAGAGCGAGUCGGAGAAACAGGUGGAGAGCCAAUAUGGAGAGACAGACUUGGUCCCUGCACUGACACACACAGACAGCAUGGAAGGUUUUGAACAUGAGGAAUGUCGGCUGCAGAUGGAGGCUCAGCGUAUCAGCCUCUCUCAGAUUCAUGCUGCUCAGUUAGAGCUGCUUAAAGAGAGACUGCCUGAGUGGGAGGAGCCUGGGAGACCAGGUGGGGCUAAAGCCGGCAGCCCCUCACUGACCUCCAUCGCCCAGGACUGCACACACCUGCUCCAGUUGAUUUCUGUUUUAUGUGGUGUUGAGGCUGUGGAUGUGACAGAUGAACAACUCCAGAAUCUCAAACCUUCCACCAUCAGAGAGAUCAUAGACACAACCCGAGAUGUAUACCAAAAGCUGCAGCAGUUGGAUAUGGAUGUUUUAUCUUCACACACUUGUCUUACAACACAGAGUGAAGAUAGAAAUGAGAUGGUGUUUGAUGAUCGCUCAGUCAGAACCGAAGAUGAUGUCCACACCUCCACACUCAGUGAACUACAGGAGCAACUUCAGGAGGAAGUGAAGCACAAGAUGGAGAUUAAGGAGGAGGUGAAGUUGAAUAUGAAGUUGGAGCUUUAUGAGGAGGUGAAGCAGAAGAUUGAGCUUCAGGAGGAGCAGCACAUGCAGGAGAUUCAGCGACUGAGGAGUUACUACAGUGAACAGAUCAGAGAAACGGAGGAACGCUACACCAACCAGAUCCUCCUUCUGCAGGACCGACUUCAGGACAUGACUCCAGCAGACACCUUGCACAGCAUGCAAAGCAUUUCUGCACACCUACAAGAGCAACAGCUUCAGAUGCGUCAGUGUGAGAUGGAGGAGGAGAUUGCCAGGGUGAUCGUGCAGAUGUCGGUGGACUUUGCCAAGCAGAGCGAGAUGAGUCGCAUCAGCAUGCAGCACCACAGAGAGCGACAGCAGGACGAACUCAGUGAGGAGACACAGGUACACACUCUGUCCACACAGAUGAGGAUGAAUGAAUUUAAUGGAGACUAUCUGCAGGAGGGGGCGGAGCCUGAACAAGUGAUUCACAAAGAGGAAGAGAAAGGGAGAGGAGGAAUGGAGCGAUUAUAUCCCAGCAUGCAGUGCAGUAACACCCAGACAGAAAUGCUGCAGAGAAGUGGAGAAGGGGAUGAGGACAAGGGUGAAGAGCGAGAGAGGAAGAAGCAGGACGAGCAGUGUGAGGAGGAGGAAGUGACGGUGACAUCAGCACACACGGAGGAAAGAUUGUAUCAGGUGUUAAUGGACAUGUUGAAGAUGGCUACAUUAAUAGAGGAGACCAUCAGAGACCAGCCCAUCACACCCCCAGCAGGCAUGCCUGAGAUGGACACCUCGAGCCCGUUGUCGGGGGCAACAGACACUGACGAGGGGCUGGACAUGUCGCAGGAGGCGGGGCUUGCUGUGGAGGGGGUGGGGUCUGUGUGGAGUGUGAGCUCCAGGCUGCAGAAGGUGGUGGAGAAGCUGGUCAUCACUCUGACUGAGACACAAACACGGUUGGAGCAUGCUCGGUUAACUCAGACGGAGUUGAUGAAGGAGAAGUUCAGUCAUGACCAGCAAAUCACCGACUUACUGAUCAGACAGGAGGAGCUUCAGCAAAGACUAGAGGAGGAGAGAGCAGCUCGAGAGAAGCUCACACAGCAACUCCAUCAUGCUGAAGGUUUGAUUGACGGGUAUUCAGGUGAGAGGCGGGUCCUGGAGGAGCAGGUGCGUGAGGGGAUGACACUGCAGCAGCAGCUGGAGGCGGAGCUUCAGAUGACCAACAGCCAACUUCAGGAACUACAACAGGAGAGACCCGACUUCAGUGAGCAGCAGGACCUGUUACUACGGCAACAAGACUCCAUGAAGGGCGGAGCCACAGAGGCAGAGCUAAGCCUAGUUGAGGCUGCAGUUGAUGAUGCACCUGAGGCAGGACUUCUGGAGGAGACAGAAAAGCUGAUGCAGGAGAAGGUCGAUGUUCAACGUCAGGCCCAGAAGGAUCAUGCAGAGCUUCAGGAGCAGGUGAAGCAGUUGGAGGCAGAGCUUGAUGAGCAGGUGAGAGCCAUGGCCAAGCUGGAGGAGACUCACCUGUCUGAGAGCGCUGACCUCCGGCAGCAGAUCCACGCUCUUGAAAAACAGCUGGAGAACAACCGGCGCUUCCUGGAUGAGCAGGCUGCAGACAGAGAACAUGAACGAGACGUCUUUCAGCAGGAGAUUCAGAAACUGGAGCAGCAGCUGAAGAGCAGCAGUAAGCCUCAGGCUGACCACAGAGAGGUGGAGGAGCUGAGCGUGGCCCUGCAGGAGAAAUCUGAUUGGUGCAGUGAGCUGUUGCUGCGAGUGGAGCAGCUGCAGAGGGAUGUGCAGGAGCGUGAUGAGGAGAUCGAGAGGCAGGAGGAGCGUGUGAGGAUGCUGGAGGAGGUGCUCGUAUCCCACGACAACCGCAACAUCACGCCAACCAGGGAGGACAGUAAGCAGUAUGCCUCCAUGGCAGGCGGGGCUGAUGCCACCCUGGAGGCUUUACUCCAGACUGAGAGAGAGGCUCUGGACAGGAAAGAAAAAGAGAUUGUGAAUCUGGAGGAGCAGUUGGAACAGUUCAGGGAUGAGCUCCAGAACAAAAGUGAGGAGGUUCAGCAGCUGCACAUGCAGCUGGAGAUCCAGAGGAAGGAGAUUAGCACACAACAGCAGGAUCUUCAGGCUCACACCAGCUUAAAGAUGGUCUUGGAGGAGAAGAACAGGCAAAUUGCUCUUCUUAAUGAACAGAUUGCUAAACUUCAGCUUUCGGAAACUACGAAGCCUGACAACAAGGAGGUGGAGGUAAAGAAUGAGCUGGUGCGUGAGCUCGAGUCUCAAGUUGAGUACCUUCGUGGAGAACAGGAUCGGCUCAAACGAGAUAACGAGGAAGAAGUGGAGCAGCUAAACUCUGUAAUCGAGAAACUCCAGCAGGAGCUUUCCAAAAUUGAGCACAAACAAUCUGCUGAGGAUGAUGAGGAAGACCAGCAUGAUGAACUGAAACAGAAGAUGGACCAAAUUCAGCGAGAGCUUGACACACUUAAGGAAGACCACUCCUCACUUCUCAGAAAAUAUGGAUCCCUGCAAGAUGAAAGAGAGACAGAAGAAGAAAAGGAGAAGAAGAAUGAGAUGCUAGUUCUUGAACUUGAAGACGUGUUGAGGGAGAAGACUGCAGCAUUAUUAGUGGCCCAAGUUCAGAUUCAUGCUUUGGAGGAAAGUGCCACAUUCACAGUGACCAAUUUAACAAAGCGAGUGGAGAUGCUAGAGAAUUUCCUAGAAGAGAGAGAGCUGGAACUGAGAGAUUGUAGAUCAGAGGUGGAUAAAGCACAAUCUGAAACAGGAACCCUCCAUCUGAAGGUCUCCCAGCUGGAGGAGAAACUCAAGGAGAAGGUAGCCACUUUGAGCCAGUUGGAGCAUCUAGAAACAAACAUCCAAACCAAAGAGUUUGAAAGUAAGAUAAAAAGUGGGACCUUUUUGGAUGAUAUUGGAAAAAAGUUGGAAUUAAAGGUGGAACAUGGAGAAUAUUUGGGCCAACCUGUUGCUGGGAAAGAGAUAGGAUUAAAGCAACAGUGUGAGAUAGAAGUGGAUCAGAAGAAUGAUGGAAAAGAGUUGGAAUCAAAAGUCAUUGCUGGAGAAAAAAUUGAAUCAAAGGUAGUUGAACCCACUGCAGGAUUAAUGGAAUCUAGUUCAGAGAUGGAGGUCGAACAGUGUUCGGUAAAUACAGUGGAGAAUUUGGUCCUCCUGAUGGAGAAGUUGAGAGAACUGGAAGUAGAGCUGAGUUCCAUGUCGAAGACCCAAGAAUUGCGAAAACAUCUGCUUGCAGGUUCAGAAGAGGAAGUUGAAGAGUACGAGAAAAUGCUGACUAAGCUCAUGGACCUGCUCAACCAAAUAAAAACAACACCUACAUCACCUGCUGCGACCUCAAGUGAAUUCACGAGUGAGAUGGAGAAGCUUAUUCAGGAGCUGCAGGAGGUCAAAGAUCAAUCAGAGGCUGCUAAAGAAGAACUGGACCGCUUUAGAAACCAAAGUCAGAAUCUGCAGGAACAGAUACAGCUUAAGGAGGAACUGAUCGAGAAGCUACAGGAGGAUCUACACAGGCUAAGUGAAGCCUCAGAUUGCAGUAGUGAGAAAAACUCUACAGUGAUAUCAGCACUUCGUCAGGAGCUACAUGAGGUUAAAGGUCAAGCAGAGGCUACUGAAGAGGAACUGAACAGAUGUAAAGAAAUCAGCCAAAGACUUCAGGAACAGAUUCAGGAGCGAGAGAUGACGAUCGCUCUGUUGAAGGAUCAGGUGCACAAGGCAACUGGUGACGUGGAGAGUUCUGAGCUGCUUCAGGAACUUCAGGAGGUCAAGCAUGAAGCAGCAGCAAUUAAAGAAGAGCUGAACAGCUACAUAGAACGGAGCCUCAAACUACAGGAGCAGAUACAGGUUCGAGAUGCAACUAUAGCCCAGCUGAUGGAGGAAAUCCAGCAGCUCCGUACAGCUUUAACCAAGUCAGGAGAAGAGAAAGACCUAGCUUCCUCCAAGAAAAAAACCGGGCGAGAUCAUCACGGAAAGGUCAAAGGUGGCAGCACAGCCAAAGACAAACAGUCUCUCUCCAGGAAGAACUCCACUACUCCACCUUUGACUCCUUCGGCUAAUGGCUCUACGAGUGUGUCCACUGUGGAUGUGGGGACACAGGUGGAGGGGGAGGGGCCUGGGGCGGAGCUGGGGGCGGAGCUGGAGGAAGUGAUCGGCGAGUACACGGAGCGGAUCGGACAGAUCCGGGAUCUGCACGCGGCCGAGAUCAUGGACAUGGAGAACAGGCACAUUGCAGAGAGUGAGAGUCUGAAGAAGGAGAACCAGAGACUGGAACAAGAGUGUGACACGCUCAGAGAUAGCAUUAAUAAACUCCGCCCCAUACAGGUUGUGAGACCAGAUCCCUCUGUGUCCUCCCCAUUCAGAGACGGAUACACAAGCGACAGCAGCUCGGAGGUGGGCACGGAGUUCAGGAACACACCUGAAGGGGCGCGGCCAGACGACACACACCUACCCGACAAGAUUAAGGCGCUCCUCAGGGAGGUCCAUCAGGAGGGAAUGCAGGUUCUCUCUCUGUCUGAGCUGAGUGUGUGUGACGACUCCGCAGACCGCAGCAGCCUCUUAGCACAGAUCACGCACCUCCAGGCUCAGCUCUCACAGCUGCAACAGGACACACACACCAACCAGCAACUGCCUCACACACUGGGCAUGACAGAGAAACAGACAGGAGAGAGAGACAGAGAGACGGAGGAGUGUGAGAGACUGAAGGCUGAGCUAGCACAGGUCAAACUGGAGCUGAAGACGUCACAGAAAACCCAACACACACACCUGAGAGAGCUCGAUACACUCAGGGCCGAGGUGUGUGUGAAGGCAUCUGAACUGGACGCGGCGAGUGACCGGCUGGCAGCGGAGCAGCGGCGGGCGAGAGAGCUGCAGUGGGAGGUGGAGAGAGAGCGGAGCAGGGCUGACCGGAGGGCUGAGGGAGAGAGGGAGGCGCUGGAGGAUGUGAGACUCGCUCUGGAGGAGGAGAGACAGGUUUCAGCACAGAGAGAAGCAGAACUCUCCAAAUACAUGGCCCUGGCUACACAACUGCAGGUCCAGUUAGAAUCUCAGAACCGUCAGAUAAAUGAUCUGAGCUCUGACCUUCAGAAGGAGAAAGAGUUCAAUGCUGAACUGCUUAAACACACACAACACCCCCUACAGGUGGAGGAUGGCAUUCCCUCUGUAGCGGACAAUGUGCUCCAAUCUCUGCAGGCCCAGCUGAAGGAGAAGCAGGCCACCCUGGUGGAGCUGAGGGCACAGGCAGAGCAGAGGGUGCUGCAGGAGUUGGAGCAGAAGCAGAAGUGGCAGGAUGAGAGGACACUCCUCCAGAGACGAAUAGAUGAGCUCCAGAGCCUGUUUCAGGGAGAGAGGGAGCGAGGGAAGGGCAUAGAGAGAGAAAAAGAAAGGCUGGAGUGCAGAGUUGUGGAGCUGAUGGAGAAGAGCAGCACCAACCUGAGUUCACCAAAUGAGCGAAUGGGUGACUGGAUGUUGGAGCAGAAAUCGAACAGAACCAUGCCUCUGGACUCCAUCAGUAUACCCUUCCUGAACACAGCAGGGGCAACAGAUGUCAAGGACAUGGACAGCGCUAUUGCAAAGCUACAGCAAAUGUCCAGCCAAAUCAACAGGCUUACUGUGGAGGGUGCUGACAGAGAGAGUUUCAGCUGGUUACAGAGGAACGUUCAGGAUAUUUUGUCAUUCCUGCAGAAAUUCUCCUCAGCACCCCUUACUGGACCAGAGAGUUCUGCCCUGACGACCGGUGGUUUCUCCAGCGUGUUAACCGAGCGGCUGCUGCGUCAGAAUGCGGAGCUAACCGGCUACAUCAGUCGUCUAACAGAGGAGAAGAACGAGCUGAGGAAUCAAAUUCUGAGACUAGAGGAGGAGCUGAGGAGACUGCACCACCUUAAGGCCCAUAGCUCCCUCAGAUCUGGCUCAGAGGUCCUGGAGGGUGUGUCGGAGGUGCAGAGGGAGGUGUGGAUGAGAGAGAAGAGCAGGAUGGAGAAAUCCCUCCGUCAGGCAGAGGUGGAGAUUUCACGCCUGCGGGCAGAGAUUCGCUCUGACACGGUGCGAGACCUCAGCACGGUCGACGCCGACAAUGCCACACUAAAGUGUAACUCCGCCCACUCCGUGCAGAGGAUUUAUGGAAAAUACCUGCGCUCCGAGAGUUUUCGCAAAGCUCUGAUCUACCAAAAGAAAUACCUGCUGCUGCUGCUGGGGGGCUUUCAGGAGUGUGAGGAGGCUACACUCUCACUGAUCGCCGGCAUGACCGGCCCACAUGUCUACACACACACCACCUUACUGGAGUGUGUAAGUCACCGGCACCGUGGAUACACACGCUUCCGAUCUGCUGCUCGCGUCUGCAUCGCCAUCUUCAGGAUGCGUUUUCUGGUUCGGAGAUGGCAGAAGGUGACGGGGGGAUCAAUCACCAUCAGCAGGAAUGGUGUAGGACAGAGCCCAGUGAUGGAGGUGAGGAACGACUCUCCCUACCUGCAGCCAUAUGGAGAGAGAAGAGGAACAAACAGAGGAAGAACAGGACGAGAGUCACCUCACACUGCACACUCCACACAGCACAGGAAUGGACAGAGGAAGCUCAUGCACUCUCUGCGGUCCAACACCGGGCACCUGCUACAGGAGUCUGUGGAGAUCCGUAUGGAGGGAUGAGUACAGAUGGAGGAGUAUUGUGUUCUCAUCUACAGAAUUACGAUCCAGAUCGCGCACUCUCUGAUUACAUCACCCGACUGGAGGCUCUGCAGCGUAGACUGGGGAGUGUACAGUCAGGAUCGUCCUCGUAUGCUCAGUUGCACUUUGGAAUGAGAAGAUAGAGAUCUUCAGUGAAACUUAACUAAUCAAGACACACACACACACACACACACACAUACACACACACACACACACACAUACACACACACAUACAUACAUACACGCAUACAUGCAUACACGCAUACUCAGUUGCCUUUUAUCACACUGAGCUCUGUGGGUUUGUACAUAUAAUUAAUGUGGAUUUAUGUUUUGAGGGACCAAAUACACACAAACACACACACACACACACACACACAUACAUACACACACACACACACACAUACAUACACACACACAUACACACACACACACACAUACAUACAUACACACACAUACACACACAUACACACACACACACACACACACACAUACACACACACAUACACACAUACACACACAUACACACACAUACACACACAAACACACACACACACACAUACAUACACACACACAUACAUACACACACACACAUACAUACAUACACACAAACACACACAUACAUACAUACACACACACACACACACACACACACAUACACACACACAUACACACACACACACAUACACACAUACACACACACACACACAUACACACACACACACAUACACACACACACACACACAGAGUCGUCUGUACAUUAGGAGUGUUUAUGUUUGUGGUUUACAGUAGAUCUGUUCUAUGUGUACGUGUGGGAAUGCUAAUUUAAGUUAAUUUAUAGUGCAGAUGUGGUGUACAGGGUGUUUGGGUUUCUCGCUGCUGCUGGACUCGUGAUAACACUGACACCUCGUGUGUGUGUGUGUGUGUGUGUGUGUGUGUGUGUGUGUGUGUGUGAGAGAGAGAGAGAGAGAGAACACACACUGUUCACUGCUGAAGGUCAUAAAAAUGAUACGGUGUGUGUGUGUGUGUGUGUCUGAGAGCUGUGGUGCGUUGUCAGUGUUAUCUCACACACACACACACACACACACACACACACACACACACACACACACACACACACACACACACUAACACUGUUUUAUCAGCUGGCUCUCCAGAAGCGAAUAAAGAGGACACUUUGUAGAAGACAUAUUUUUGUAAAGGCAGGAGCUUUGACUUUUAUGGGUAUUUUGUCAACACUGAAAUAAAGAUUAAUAUAAUA
Ictalurus punctatus (channel catfish) is the source of this 12570-nucleotide RNA transcript. It is a transcript of the gene named A kinase (PRKA) anchor protein 9, with no coding region annotated. The transcript has 56 exons. The record is from RefSeq and is a predicted model, not a curated record. Lineage: Eukaryota; Metazoa; Chordata; Actinopteri; Siluriformes; Ictaluridae.